UUCAGAACAUAUCAAUGGCAUAUGAAGCAUUUCAGAGCAUAUCAAGGAUGUAUGAAAUGUUACAGAGUAUAUCAAUAAUAAAUGAAACAUUUCGGAACAUAUCAAUGAUAGACGAAAUACUUUAGAAUAUAUCAAUGACAUAUGAAGUAUUCAGGAGUAUAUCAAGGACGUAUGAAAUAUUUUGGAGCAUAUCAAUAACAAAUGAAACAUUUUAGAAUAUAUUAAUGAUUGAUGAAAUGCUUCAGAACAUAUCAAUGACAUAUGAAGCAUUUCAGAACAUAUCAAAGAAUAAAUACGAAAUAGAAGCUCAAACGUCGCAUUUGAUGUUGCAC
Molecule: long non-coding RNA, 332 nt
Filed under: Musa acuminata (dwarf banana)
Lineage: Eukaryota; Viridiplantae; Streptophyta; Magnoliopsida; Zingiberales; Musaceae
Description: long non-coding RNA (MACU_LNC011134)
Source: RNAcentral